UACGUAGGGUGCAAACGUUAAUCGGGAUUACUGGGCGUAAAGCGUGCGCAGGCGGUUGUGUAAGACAGAUGUGAAAUCCCCGGGCUCAACCUGGGAACUGCAUUUGUGACUGCACGGCUGGAGUGCGGCAGAGGGGGAUGGAAUUCCGCGUGUAGCAGUGAAAUGCGCAGAUAUGCGGAGGAACACCGAUGGCGAAGGCAAUCCCCUGGGCCUGCACUGACGCUCAUGCACGAAAGCGUGGGGAGCAAACAGG
RNAcentral lists this ribosomal RNA (253 nucleotides) under uncultured bacterium. RNAcentral describes it as "partial 16S ribosomal RNA". It matches the Rfam family "Bacterial small subunit ribosomal RNA", at positions 524 to 776 of the family's 1533-position model. The record is from RNAcentral.